CCCUUAGGAAGAGGAUAACAGCUGGAAACGGUUGCUAAUACUCUAUACGCCGAGAGGUAAAAGGAUUUAUCCACCUUAGGAAGAGCUCGCGUCUGAUUAGCUUGUUGGUAAGGUAAUGGCUUACCAAGGCGACGAUCAGUAGCUGGUUUGAGAGGACGACCAGCCACACUGGGACUGAGACACGGCCCAGACUCCUACGGGAGGCAGCAGUGGGGAAUUUUCCGCAAUGGGCGAAAGCCUGACGGAGCAAUACCGCGUGAGGGAUGAAAGCCUGUGGGUUGUAAACCUCUCUUCUCAAGGAAGAAGUUCUGACGGUACUUGAGGAAUAAGCAUCGGCUAACUCUGUGCCAGCAGCCGCGGUAAUACAGAGGAUGCAAGCGUUAUCCGGAAUCACUGGGCAUAAAGCGUCUGUAGGUUGCUUGCCAAGUCUGCUGUUAAAGAUCAGGGCUUAACCCUGGGAAAGCAGUGGAAACUAGUAGGCUUGAGUGUGGUAGAGGUAGAGGGAAUUCCUGGUGUAGCGGUGAAAUGCGUAGAUAUUAGGAAGAACACCAAUGGCGAAAGCACUCUACUGGGCCACAACUGACACUGAGAGACGACAGCUAGGGGAGCAAAUGGGAUUAGAUACC
Molecule: ribosomal RNA, 626 nt
Filed under: uncultured bacterium
Lineage: Bacteria
Description: bacterial SSU rRNA
Rfam family: Bacterial small subunit ribosomal RNA
Source: RNAcentral